This 463-nucleotide ribosomal RNA is filed under the name uncultured bacterium. RNAcentral's name for it is "partial 16S ribosomal RNA". It matches the Rfam family "Bacterial small subunit ribosomal RNA", at positions 28 to 507 of the family's 1533-position model. The record is from RNAcentral.
GACGAACGCUGGCGGCGUGCUUAACACAUGCAAGUCGAACGGAAAGGCCUUUUCGGAGGUACUCGAGUGGCGAACGGGUGAGUAACACGUGGGUGAUCUGCCCUGCACUCUGGGAUAAGCCUGGGAAACUGGGUCUAAUACCGGAUAGGACCGCACUUUAGUGUGUGUGGUGGAAAGUUUUUUCGGUGUAGGAUGAGCCCGCGGCCUAUCAGCUUGUUGGUGGGGUAAUGGCCUACCAAGGCGGCGACGGGUAGCCGGACUGAGAGGGUGGUCGGCCACAUUGGGACUGAGGGGCGGCCCAGACGCCUACGGGGGGCAGCAGUGGGGAAUAUUGCACAAUGGGCGCAAGCCUGAUGCAGCGACGCCGCGUGGGGGAUGACGGCCUUCGGGUUGUAAACUCCUUUCGCCAGGGACGAAGCGUUUUGUGACGGUACCUGGAGAAGAAGCACCGGCUAACUACGUG